GAUGAACGCUGGCGGCGUGUCUAAUACAUGCCAGUCGAGCGAAAAGACGAGGAGCUUGCUCCUCUGACGUUAGCGACGGACGGGUGAGUAACAAGUGGAUAACCUACCUAUAAUACUGGGAUAACUUCGGGAAUCCGGCGCUAAUACCGGCUAAUAUAUUGAACUGCCUGGUUCAAUAGUGAAAGACGGUUUUGCUGUCACUUAUAGAUAGAUCCGCGCCGCAUUAGCUAGUUGGUAAGGUAACGGCUUACCAAGGCAACGAUGCGUAGCCGACCUGAGAGGGUGAUCGGCCACACUGGAACUGAGACACGGUCCAGACUCCUACGGGAGCCAUCAGCAGACAAGAUGCCGCAACGGGCGAGAGCCUGACGCUGCAACGCCGCGUGAGUAAAGAAAAUGUGGGAGUCGGUAAAAGGUGUUACUAGGCAAGAACAACCGUGGAAUUAGCGAUUGUCAGCUAGACGUUACCAAGACAGAAAGCCACGGCUAACUACGGU
RNAcentral lists this ribosomal RNA (497 nucleotides) under uncultured bacterium. RNAcentral describes it as "partial 16S ribosomal RNA". It matches the Rfam family "Bacterial small subunit ribosomal RNA", at positions 28 to 507 of the family's 1533-position model. The record is from RNAcentral.